This 433-nucleotide ribosomal RNA is filed under the name uncultured bacterium. RNAcentral's name for it is "partial 16S ribosomal RNA". It matches the Rfam family "Bacterial small subunit ribosomal RNA", at positions 38 to 507 of the family's 1533-position model. The record is from RNAcentral.
GGGGGGGGGGGGGGGGGGGCGGGGCGGAUGCAGGGCGGGGGGGGGCUUGGGGGCGAGGGGCGCACGGGUGCGGCGCGCGGGGGAGCCUGCCCGUAGGGUCGGCAUACCUCCCCUGAAGGGUUGCUCCUACCGGAUAAUGUCUUCGGCCCAAAGAUGUCACGCCUUUGGGUGGGCCCGCGUUGGAUUGCGUGCUUGGUAGGGUAACAGCCGAACAAGGCGACGCCACCUGGCUGGUCUGAGAGACUGAUCAGCCACACUGGGACUGAGACACGGCCCAGACUCCUACGGGAGGCAGCAGUGGGGAAUAUUGGACAAUGGGCGAAAGCCUGAUCCAGCAAUGCCGCGUGAGUGAUGAAGGCCUUAGGGUUGUAAAGCUCUUUUACCCGGGAUGAUAAUGACAGUACCGGGAGAAUAAGCUCCGGCUAACUCCGUG